CUGGGGUUGUAGCUCAGUGGCAGAGCACUUGCCUAGCACGUGUGAGGCACUGGGUUCGAUCCUCAGACCACAUA
This 74-nucleotide transfer RNA is filed under the name Marmota monax (woodchuck). RNAcentral describes it as "tRNA.Ala". Lineage: Eukaryota; Metazoa; Chordata; Mammalia; Rodentia; Sciuridae. The record is from RNAcentral.